This 261-nucleotide long non-coding RNA is filed under the name Elaeis guineensis (African oil palm). Its description in RNAcentral is "long non-coding RNA (EGUI_LNC007524)". The record is from RNAcentral. Lineage: Eukaryota; Viridiplantae; Streptophyta; Magnoliopsida; Arecales; Arecaceae.
GUAGUUUGUGUCCGUUUUGUAUGCGUUUGAGAAUGGAUGGUUAAGUAGUAGUAGGAGAUAGGCAAUAGCCAUAUUGUAUUUGUAUUUAUAUGCAUGACUGUACUAGUUGAUCCAUGGGGACAUUCCUAAUUAAUAUUUUUUUUGCCCUUGGGUUCAAAGCCAAAAAUGUGGAGAUCCAAUGGCCAAGUGGGAAGGCAGGUAAAAGCGAAAGAAACCAAGCAGCGAUCGGUGGCCCUCUUGGUGUAUGUCUCUACCGAUGAC